Molecule: ribosomal RNA, 200 nt
Filed under: uncultured bacterium
Lineage: Bacteria
Description: partial 16S ribosomal RNA
Rfam family: Bacterial small subunit ribosomal RNA
Source: RNAcentral
UACGUAGGGUGCAAGCGUUGUCCGGAAUUAUUGGGCGUAAAGAGCUCGUAGGCGGUCUGUCGCGUCUGCUGUGAAAACUCGGGGCUUAACCCCGGGCCUGCAGUGGGUACGGGCAGACUAGAGUCCGGUAGGGGAGUGUGGAAUUCCCGGUGUAGCGGUGAAAUGCGCAGAGAUCGGGAGGAACACCCGUACGCGAAGGC